CAACAAACGAAAGGAGGUGGUCCAAUGUCUCAUUGUCCAAUGCCGCAUACGGCCGACAGGAUGAGCAUGGCCUCCGUCCGCGGGGUCGGGUUCGCCUGAUCGCUCCGCAUCGGCCACGACAAUGGAAGGGUCGCCCGCGAGGGCGGCCCU
This 150-nucleotide small RNA is filed under the name Sphingopyxis flava. Its description in RNAcentral is "caulobacter sRNA CC2171". It matches the Rfam family "caulobacter sRNA CC2171". Lineage: Bacteria; Pseudomonadati; Pseudomonadota; Alphaproteobacteria; Sphingomonadales; Sphingopyxidaceae. The record is from RNAcentral.